Molecule: ribosomal RNA, 494 nt
Filed under: uncultured bacterium
Lineage: Bacteria
Description: bacterial SSU rRNA
Rfam family: Bacterial small subunit ribosomal RNA
Source: RNAcentral
AUGGCUCAGGAUGAACGCUGGCGGCGCGCCUAACACAUGCAAGUCGAACGAAGCCUUUGGAGUGCUUAGCACUCCGGCUGGCUUAGUGGCGGACGGGUGAGUAACACGUGAGCAACCUGCCGAGAAGUGGGGAAUAACGUCUGGAAACGGACGGUAAUACCGCAUAUAAUACCGAGAAGGCAUCUUCAUGGUAUGAAAGGAGUAAUCCGCUUCUUGAUGGGCUCGCGUCCGAUUAGCUAGAUGGUGAGGUAAUGGCUCACCAUGGCGACGAUCGGUAGCCGGACUGAGAGGUUGAACGGCCACAUUGGGACUGAGACACGGCCCAGACUCCUACGGGAGGCAGCAGUGGGGGAUAUUGCACAAUGGGGGAAACCCUGAUGCAGCGACGCCCGCGUGAGUGAAGACGGUCUUACGGAUUGUAAAGCUCUGUUGCAGAGGACGAUAAUGACGGUACUCUGUGAGGAAGCCACGGCUAACUACGUGCCAGCCGCAGC